CGAACGCUGGCGGCGUGCUUAACACAUGCAAGUCGAACGGAAAGGCCCUGCUUUUGUGGGGUGCUCGAGUGGCGAACGGGUGAGUAACACGUGAGUAACCUGCCCUUGACUUUGGGAUAACUUCAGGAAACUGGGGCUAAUACCGGAUAGGAGCUCCUGCUGCAUGGUGGGGGUUGGAAAGUUUCGGCGGUUGGGGAUGGACUCGCGGCUUAUCAGCUUGUUGGUGGGGUAGUGGCUUACCAAGGCUUUGACGGAUAGCCGGCCUGAGAGCGUGACCGGCCACAUUGGAACUGAGAUACAGCCCAGACUCCUACGAGAGGCAGCAGUGGGGAAUAUUGCACAAUGGGCGGAAGCCUGAUGCAGCAACGCCGCGUGCGGGAUGACGGCCUUCGGAUUGUAAACCGCUUUCGCCUGUGACGAAGCGUGAGUGACGGUAAUGGGUAAAGAAGCACCGGCUAACUACGUG
This 466-nucleotide ribosomal RNA is filed under the name uncultured bacterium. Its description in RNAcentral is "partial 16S ribosomal RNA". It matches the Rfam family "Bacterial small subunit ribosomal RNA", at positions 30 to 507 of the family's 1533-position model. The record is from RNAcentral.